GCGCCUGUAGCUCAGUGGUUAGAGUGCUUGUUUCCUAAGCUGAAGGUAGGUUUGACCCUCACCUGGCGCG
RNAcentral lists this transfer RNA (70 nucleotides) under Nicotiana sylvestris (wood tobacco). It matches the Rfam family "tRNA". Rfam says of the family: Transfer RNA (tRNA) molecules are approximately 80 nucleotides in length. Their secondary structure includes four short double-helical elements and three loops (D, anti-codon, and T loops). Further hydrogen bonds mediate the characteristic L-shaped molecular structure. tRNAs have two regions of fundamental functional importance: the anti-codon, which is responsible for specific mRNA codon recognition, and the 3' end, to which the tRNAs corresponding amino acid is attached (by aminoacyl-tRNA synthetases). tRNAs cope with the degeneracy of the genetic code in two manners: having more than one tRNA (with a specific anti-codon) for a particular amino acid; and 'wobble' base-pairing, i.e. permitting non-standard base-pairing at the 3rd anti-codon position. RNAcentral also lists the same sequence under 1 other name. The record is from Rfam by way of RNAcentral. Lineage: Eukaryota; Viridiplantae; Streptophyta; Magnoliopsida; Solanales; Solanaceae.